UCCCUGAUGGCUCAGAAGGUAAAGCGUCUGUCUUCAAUGCAGGAGACCCGUGUUCGAGCCCUGGGUUGGGAA
Transfer RNA from Ovis aries (sheep), 72 nucleotides. It matches the Rfam family "tRNA". From Rfam's summary of the family: Transfer RNA (tRNA) molecules are approximately 80 nucleotides in length. Their secondary structure includes four short double-helical elements and three loops (D, anti-codon, and T loops). Further hydrogen bonds mediate the characteristic L-shaped molecular structure. tRNAs have two regions of fundamental functional importance: the anti-codon, which is responsible for specific mRNA codon recognition, and the 3' end, to which the tRNAs corresponding amino acid is attached (by aminoacyl-tRNA synthetases). tRNAs cope with the degeneracy of the genetic code in two manners: having more than one tRNA (with a specific anti-codon) for a particular amino acid; and 'wobble' base-pairing, i.e. permitting non-standard base-pairing at the 3rd anti-codon position. NCBI's taxonomy places the organism in Eukaryota, Metazoa, Chordata, Mammalia, Artiodactyla, Bovidae. The record is from Rfam.